CCGGUCCUUAUUCUUCCGGGGCCGUCAUCGACCCCAGGUAUUAACCAGAGCCAAUUCUUUCCGGACAAAAGUACUUUACAACCCGAAGGCCUUCUUCACACACGCGGCAUUGCUGGAUCAGGCUUUCGCCCAUUGUCCAAAAUUCCCCACUGCUGCCUCCCGUAGGAGUCUGGGCCGUGUCUCAGUCCCAGUGUGGCUGAUCGUCCUCUCAGACCAGCUACUGAUCGUCGCCUUGGUGGGCCUUUACCCCACCAACUAGCUAAUCAGACAUCGGCCGCUCCUAUAGCAUGAGGCCUUGCGGUCCCCCACUUUCACCCUCAGGUCGUAUGCGGUAUUAGCUAAUCUUUCGACUAGUUAUCCCCCACUACAGGGCACGUUCCGAUGUAUUACUCACCCGUUCGCCACUCGCCGGCAGGAGAAGCAAGCUUCUCCCCCGCUGCCGUUCGACUUGCAUGUGUAAGGCAUGC
RNAcentral lists this ribosomal RNA (467 nucleotides) under Ralstonia sp. RNAcentral describes it as "partial 16S ribosomal RNA". The record is from RNAcentral. Lineage: Bacteria; Pseudomonadati; Pseudomonadota; Betaproteobacteria; Burkholderiales; Burkholderiaceae.